Molecule: ribosomal RNA, 507 nt
Filed under: uncultured bacterium
Lineage: Bacteria
Description: bacterial SSU rRNA
Rfam family: Bacterial small subunit ribosomal RNA
Source: RNAcentral
AUUGAACGCUGGCGGCAGGCCUAACACAUGCAAGUCGAGCGGUAACACAGAGGGCUUGCUCUCGGGUGACGAGCGGCGGACGGGUGAGUAAUGUCUGGGAAACUGCCUGAUGGAGGGGGAUAACUACUGGAAACGGUAGCUAAUACCGCAUAACGUCUACGGACCAAAGUGGGGGACCUUCGGGCCUCACACCAUCGGAUGUGCCCAGAUGGGAUUAGCUGGUAGGUGGGGUAAUGGCUCACCUAGGCGACGAUCCCUAGCUGGUCUGAGAGGAUGACCAGCCACACUGGAACUGAGACACGGUCCAGACUCCUACGGGAGGCAGCAGUGGGGAAUAUUGCACAAUGGGCGCAAGCCUGAUGCAGCCAUGCCGCGUGUGUGAAGAAGGCCUUCGGGUUGUAAAGCACUUUCAGCGAGGAGGAAGGCGUUGUAGUUAAUAACUGCAGCGAUUGACGUUACUCGCAGAAGAAGCACCGGCUAACUCCGUGCCAGCCGCCGCCGUAACAC